UACGUAGGGUGCAAGCGUUAAUCGGAAUUACUGGGCGUAAAGCGUGCGCAGGCGGUUAUGCCAGUCAGAUGUGAAAUCCCCGGGCUUAACCUGGGAACCGCAUUUGUGACUGCAUAGCUGGAGUACGGCAGAGGGGGAUGGAAUUCCGCGUGUAGCAGUGAAAUGCGUAGAUAUGCGGAGGAACACCGAUGGCGAAGGCAGUCCCCUGGGCCUGUACUGACGCUCAUGCACGAAAGCGUGGGGAGCAAACAGG
RNAcentral lists this ribosomal RNA (253 nucleotides) under uncultured bacterium. Its description in RNAcentral is "partial 16S ribosomal RNA". It matches the Rfam family "Bacterial small subunit ribosomal RNA", at positions 524 to 776 of the family's 1533-position model. The record is from RNAcentral.